AACAAACGCUGGCGGCGUGUCUUAAGCAUGCAAGUUGAGCGGCAAGGAGGAGAGAUCCUCCCUAGAGCGGCGGACUGGUGAGUAACGCGUGGGUAAUCUAUCGUAGGCAUGGGGAUAGUCACUAGAAAUAGUGGGUAAUACCGAAUACGUUCCAUGAGGGGAGUACUUAUGGAAGAAAGGGUGCUACGGCACUGGCCUUAGGUGAGCUCGCGUCCCAUUAGCUAGUUGGUGAGGUAAAGGCCCACCAAGGCGAUGAUGGGUAGCCGGCCUGAGAGGGUGUACGGCCACACUGGGACUGAGAUACGGCCCAGACUCCUACGGGAGGCAGCAGUAGGGAAUUUUGCGCAAUGGACGGAAGUCUGACGCAGCAACGCCGCGUGAAGGAUGACGGCCUUCGGGUUGUAAACUUCUGUUGGAUGGGAAAAAAAGCCUUUUAGAAGGAAUUGAUGGUACCAUUCGAGUAAGCACCGGCUAACUACGUG
Molecule: ribosomal RNA, 482 nt
Filed under: uncultured bacterium
Lineage: Bacteria
Description: bacterial SSU rRNA
Rfam family: Bacterial small subunit ribosomal RNA
Source: RNAcentral